CUUGCAGUUUGAUCUCAGACUGCUGUGCUAGCAAUCAGCGAGACUCCGUGGGCAUAGGACCCUCCCAGCCAGCUGAUUAAAUUCUAGUUCCCCAUGAUGCAUGGAACUUGCUUGAGGACUGGUGGAGUACCUGGACUAUAGACUUCAUUCUGAAAUCCCACCAACUCCCAAAGAACCCAUCAUACAGCCCAUGGUGCAUGCACACUCCAGGUACCACUACCAUAUGACUACAGGCCCAACCACCACCUCUUGAAAGCCAGAGUGGACCUACCUCUCUUGAGGCUGGCCUUGUAGCCAAUCUAGUUGGCUUCUGUGUGUUCCAUAGCCUUGCCAUGUGCCUUGGACCAUGCAAUAUUGAUGAUGAUACAAGUAAUCCUUUAGUGAGCACUUAUCAGUGUACCGGGUGCUGUGCUAAAUGUGCUUCAAACAACAUUUCAUUGAACUCCCACGACUCAAUGAAUUCAUUUCUAUUGCAGAUGAAGCCUCUGAGAAGUUAGGUAAUUUUUCUCUAGGUUACAGUGCAAGUAAGUACAAGAGCCAGGACUAAAACUCAGGCUUGUUAGAAGUGUCCAAAAUCCAUGUUCCUAAUGACUUGUAGCAUGAGGGUUCCCAGAAGCUAGCUCUGAGAUGGAGAUUUGUAUGCAGGAGAU
Molecule: long non-coding RNA, 650 nt
Organism: Homo sapiens (human)
Lineage: Eukaryota; Metazoa; Chordata; Mammalia; Primates; Hominidae
Source: Ensembl